Molecule: transfer RNA, 54 nt
Filed under: Ebrechtella tricuspidata
Lineage: Eukaryota; Metazoa; Arthropoda; Arachnida; Araneae; Thomisidae
Description: tRNA-Ser
Source: RNAcentral
GACUUUACUUUAAGAUGUUUUGAAAGCAUUUAAUAAGAUAAUACUUUAAAGUCU